CUUCGGGGGUCGUUGGUUGUUUUCUCUCUUUUACGGAGAGUUUGAUCCUGGCUCAGGACGAACGCUGGCGGCGUGCUUAACACAUGCAAGUCGAACGGUGAAGCCCAGCUUGCUGGGUGGAUCAGUGGCGAACGGGUGAGUAACACGUGAGCAACCUGCCCUCCACUUCGGGAUAAGCCUUGGAAACGGGGUCUAAUACCGGAUAUGAGCAUUCACCGCAUGGUGGGUGUUGGAAAGUUUUUCGGUGGGGGAUGGGCUCGCGGCCUAUCAGCUUGUUGGUGGGGUGAUGGCCUACCAAGGCGUCGACGGGUAGCCGGCCUGAGAGGGCGACCGGCCACACUGGGACUGAGACACGGCCCAGACUCCUACGGGAGGCAGCAGUGGGGAAUAUUGCACAAUGGGCGAAAGCCUGAUGCAGCGACGCCGCGUGAGGGAUGACGGCCUUCGGGUUGUAAACCUCUUUCAGCAGGGAAGAAGGCCUUCGGGUGGACGGUACCUGCAGAAGAAGCGCCGGCUAACUACGUGCCAGCAGCCGCGGUAAUACGUAGGGCGCAAGCGUUGUCCGGAAUUAUUGGGCGUAAAGAGCUCGUAGGCGGUUUGUCGCGUCUGGUGUGAAAUCCCGAGGCUCAACCUCGGGCUUGCAUCGGGUACGGGCAGACUAGAGUACUGUAGGGGAGACUGGAAUUCCUGGUGUAGCGGUGGAAUGCGCAGAUAUCAGGAGGAACACCGAUGGCGAAGGCAGGUCUCUGGGCAGUUACUGACGCUGAGGAGCGAAAGCAUGGGGAGCGAACAGGAUUAGAUACCCUGGUAGUCCAUGCCGUAAACGUUGGGCACUAGGUGUGGGGCUCAUUCCACGAGUUCCGUGCCGCAGCUAACGCAUUAAGUGCCCCGCCUGGGGAGUACGGCCGCAAGGCUAAAACUCAAAGGAAUUGACGGGGGCCCGCACAAGCGGCGGAGCAUGCGGAUUAAUUCGAUGCAACGCGAAGAACCUUACCAAGGCUUGACAUGCACCGGACGCUGCCAGAGAUGGUGGUUCCGCAAGGUCGGUGCACAGGUGGUGCAUGGUUGUCGUCAGCUCGUGUCGUGAGAUGUUGGGUUAAGUCCCGCAACGAGCGCAACCCUCGUCCCAUGUUGCCAGCGGGUUAUGCCGGGGACUCAUGGGAGACUGCCGGGGUCAACUCGGAGGAAGGCGGGGAUGACGUCAAAUCAUCAUGCCCCUUAUGUCUUGGGCUUCACGCAUGCUACAAUGGCCGGUACAGAGGGCUGCGAUACCGUAAGGUGGAGCGAAUCCCAAAAAGCCGGUCUCAGUUCGGAUUGGGGUCUGCAACUCGACCCCAUGAAGUCGGAGUCGCUAGUAAUCGCAGAUCAGCAACGCUGCGGUGAAUACGUUCCCGGGCCUUGUACACACCGCCCGUCAAGUCACGAAAGUUGGUAACACCCGAAGCUCAUGGCCCAACCGGUUUUCCGGGGGGAGUGGUCGAAGGUGGGACUGGCGAUUGGGACUAAGUCGUAACAAGGUAGCCGUACCGGAAGGUGCGGCUGGAUCACCUCCUUUCU
This 1557-nucleotide ribosomal RNA is filed under the name Isoptericola halotolerans. RNAcentral describes it as "bacterial SSU rRNA". It matches the Rfam family "Bacterial small subunit ribosomal RNA". The record is from RNAcentral. Lineage: Bacteria; Bacillati; Actinomycetota; Actinomycetes; Micrococcales; Promicromonosporaceae.